UCUUACUGCCACACCGCCCUGAGCUCAUCUGAUCUCAGAAGCUAACCAGGGUCGGAUCAGUUUAGUACUUGGAUAGGAGACCGCCUGGGAAUACCAGAUGCUGCGAGUU
Molecule: ribosomal RNA, 109 nt
Filed under: Oryzias melastigma (Indian medaka)
Lineage: Eukaryota; Metazoa; Chordata; Actinopteri; Beloniformes; Adrianichthyidae
Source: RNAcentral